UGGGUAGAACUGAGUCAGCAGAAGACACUCGUUGACCUGAGUCUUUCUCUAAACAACACACCUUCACCUCUCAGCUGGACAUCUACGGUUCUGAUCGUCCCAUUGUAUGCCCUUGCACAGUGGUGGCUGCACCACUGAUGGAAUUUCACAUCGGAUACAGGAAUGCUGAAAUGAAGAUGUGAAAAACAGUAAAGCUCUUGAGAAGUUCCAGUAAAGACUCGGGAAAUCGCUACAAUGGCUGUCCAGAUGCCUUGUGCCCUGUGGUUUAUUAAUGGGCACCGCCUUUUGAUCACCCCUGCUUGAAUGCUGUCUGCUGGAAAUGAGCCUUCCGCUGCUUCUAAUUUCCUUAACCCCACCCCCACAAAUAAAAAAAGCUUGCUUUUAUGGA
Molecule: long non-coding RNA, 388 nt
Organism: Hemicordylus capensis (graceful crag lizard)
Lineage: Eukaryota; Metazoa; Chordata; Lepidosauria; Squamata; Cordylidae
Exons: 3
Source: RefSeq, a predicted model, not a curated record